Molecule: long non-coding RNA, 338 nt
Organism: Tupaia belangeri chinensis (Chinese tree shrew)
Lineage: Eukaryota; Metazoa; Chordata; Mammalia; Scandentia; Tupaiidae
Exons: 3
Source: RefSeq, a predicted model, not a curated record
GCGGGCAGGGGAGCAGCGGGCGGAGCGCAGGGGGAGCCGUCCUGUGCGCGCCUCCUUGGCCUCGGGCUGCUGCUGGUGGAGAGCUUUGGGUGGCCACCCCGGGCCGCUGCCUCCCGGAGCAACGCAGGGGAGGCCAAGACCACAGCUGUCCUGGAAAAAGGCCUGGAAGAACCGAAGGCCUGUGAUCAGGAGGAUGGACCCGCAGGCUGAGAAAAAGAAAAAAAAUCCGGAAAUAAAAGGUUGUCAUCACCUUCCGAUGCUGGAACAGAAUAUGAAGCAAUGAAUAUGUUCACUGUGGGAGCAGGUGGGAGGGGCUUACUUUAUUGAUCACAGUUUAA